RNAcentral lists this transfer RNA (72 nucleotides) under Camelus ferus (Wild Bactrian camel). It matches the Rfam family "tRNA". From Rfam's summary of the family: Transfer RNA (tRNA) molecules are approximately 80 nucleotides in length. Their secondary structure includes four short double-helical elements and three loops (D, anti-codon, and T loops). Further hydrogen bonds mediate the characteristic L-shaped molecular structure. tRNAs have two regions of fundamental functional importance: the anti-codon, which is responsible for specific mRNA codon recognition, and the 3' end, to which the tRNAs corresponding amino acid is attached (by aminoacyl-tRNA synthetases). tRNAs cope with the degeneracy of the genetic code in two manners: having more than one tRNA (with a specific anti-codon) for a particular amino acid; and 'wobble' base-pairing, i.e. permitting non-standard base-pairing at the 3rd anti-codon position. Lineage: Eukaryota; Metazoa; Chordata; Mammalia; Artiodactyla; Camelidae. The record is from Rfam by way of RNAcentral.
GAGGGUAUAGCUCAGUGGUAGAGUACAUGCCUAGCAUGCAUGGGGUCCUGGGUUCAAUCCCCAGUAACUCCA